AAGCUCAAAUUUAUUAUGGCUGUGUAUGUUCACUCUAGGGUGGUUGCGACAGGACUUGGCUGUGAAGGCCUGAAGAUCCUUGUAGAAGCGCUGAAAGAAAAUCGUACUGUGACUGAUCUCAGAAUGGCCAUAAAUAAAAUUGGAGAUGUUGGAGCUGGUCACCUUGCAGAAUUGUUGAGGACGAAUCGCACACUGACGGAUAUCAGGUAAAAGAGACGUAUCUCCAUCAUUUCAAUCUCUUGAAUAAUUUAUUUAUCUGAAAAGUUCACUGAGUUGAAACAUUCUGCAUCCUAUAGGCUUCGUGACAACCUAGUGACAGACAAAGGAGCAGAAGUCCUCAUGGCUGCCCUGAAAGAGAACACUACAUUAGAGUAUCUGUGGUAAGAAACAUUUAGAGCUGAUUUACUAUAGUCUAUUUCCUCAUGAUUCUGUAACACAAAUAUAUUUUCUGUUCAUCGCAGGUUGUUUGACAACAAGUUUACCAAAGAUGGCGUCAAGAAACUCAAAGAAUUUGCAAAGACCAGACCAGACCUUGACAUUAAAGCUUGCGUCUGACCCACAACCAUUAAACCAGUGGAGUAGCAACUGGUUCAUGACAAACAUUUUCAUUCAUACAUUCUAUUCAUACAUUAUUUUACAUAUGGUACAAUUACUCUGAUAUAUUACUUUUAAUACAUAUUAGACUGUUAAAUGAAUAGUUUACCUAAAAAUGAAAAAUUGCUGAAAAUGUACUCACCCUCAGGCCAUCCAAGAUGUAGCUUGUUUCUUCAUUUGAACAGAUUUGGAGAAAUGUAGCAUUACAUUAUUUGCUCACCAACAGAUCCUCUGCAGUGAAUGGGUGCCGUCAGAAUGUGGUAAAGAAAGUGAUAAAAACAUCACAAUAAUCCACAAGUAUUCCAAACAACUCCAAUCCAUCAAUUAACAUCUUCUGAAGCAAAAAGCAGCAUGCUUGUAAGAAACAAGCAUUUUCACUAUAAACAAUUAUUCCUUUAACUACUCAGGCUACUACUGCCCUCAGCUGGACGUUUAAGGAGCUGUUAUUUGUAUGCUAUAUGUGUACAUUAAUAAGCAGCAAUAUUUUCAGACCUAUUUUAGGAUUUAUAGACAGUUUUUUAAAGUUUUUAAACACUGAAUUGCAUUAAUUUAUUUUGUGCAAUAUCGUUUUUAUGAUCAAAUCUUUUACAGCUUUUAGCUAACACCCACACAAUCAGAUUUGACUUCAGAUUUAAGUAUAUGAUAGACUUUGAGGGACCUAAAAUGCCUUCACAACACCCAUCUGUUUUUCUCGUACUUCUUUAUAAAUGAUUGUCUUCUUUCUCUUCUCUGCUAUAGUGUCUCAAACCAGUUCGACGUUUAUUGCCCAUUUUUGUGGGUGCUUUUACAUGCAGAGCUCAGGGCUCCUCUUAGAUGCUUCAUAAACAGAAGUAAAAAUGUAAGUGUAAAAUACACAAAGCCAGAGUAUUCUUUGGUUAGUAAAUGCAUUUAUUUUAAAGAUACUAUGUGAAACCGUUACUAAAAUCACAGUAAUGUAUGUUAGAAGCAAUUUAAAUCGUACAUACUGGUGGAGAUUUCUAAAACCCAACUAGAUAGAUAGAUAGAGAGAUAGAUAGAUAGAUAGAUAGAUAGAUAGAUAGAUAGAUAGAUAGAUAGAUAGAUAGAUAGAUAGAUAGAUGAGCUUGACUACUUUUUGUGAAAACUUCUGAACACGGUUUUCAUUUUUUACUGUUAUCCAUGUCAGAUAAUUUUUUGAAACAUUGCACACCUGUCUUCUUUCUGAAAGUUGCAUAAUAGAGGUUAAUGCAUCAUUAAUUGUCAUAACAUCUUGAAAUAUGAAUCGUUAUAUCAAAGUAUGAUUGCUUAGCAAGGCUUACAAUGCAAAGUACAAGUGUUGUUAUGCAAUCAUUAAAACAAGAUGUACAAAUAGAUGUUCAAUAAACAUUAUAUGUAUUCUCCAGAUUCCAGUUUGCUUUAGUAAUGGAGUCUGUGGUUUGUCUUCACUUCAAAGUUCAAACCGUGUUGCUUCAGGACAGGAGUAAUUCCAUAUAUUGAUGACUGCUGCCUUGAAAGCAAAAUCUUACCUUACAUGUACAUUCUCACGUCUGUUGUGAUAAGUCUCAAGCAUUGCAUAAGUGUAUCGAUGUGGAGGGGGAAAGAGUUUCCACACCGGAGUAAUAUUUAACGUCAUGAGUCCCUCAUGAAAAGCCCGCUUGUGUCUGUAUUUUAAUGUAGUUGCCCAUUUAAACCACCAGAUGCCGACGUGAUGUUUUGUGACUCAUAUCACCUCUUUGUUCAGUUUAGUUCUUAGAAAGAGUACAAGAAACAAUAAAAAGUCACUUGUUCAGUUCCCCU
This 2349-nucleotide long non-coding RNA is filed under the name Sinocyclocheilus grahami. Its description in RNAcentral is "lncRNA (ENSSGRG00000041111.1)". Lineage: Eukaryota; Metazoa; Chordata; Actinopteri; Cypriniformes; Cyprinidae. The record is from RNAcentral.